This 253-nucleotide ribosomal RNA is filed under the name uncultured bacterium. RNAcentral's name for it is "partial 16S ribosomal RNA". It matches the Rfam family "Bacterial small subunit ribosomal RNA", at positions 524 to 776 of the family's 1533-position model. The record is from RNAcentral.
UACGUAGGGGGCAAGCGUUGUCCGGAUUUACUGGGCGUAAAGAGCGUGUAGGCGGCCAGGCAGGUCUGUUGUGAAAACUGGAGGCUCAACUUCCAGACGUCGACAGAAACCGCUCGGCUAGAGUCCGGAAGAGGAGAGUGGAAUUCCUGGUGUAGCGGUGAAAUGCGCAGAUAUCAGGAAGAACACCGAUGGCGAAGGCAGCUCUCUGGGACGGUACUGACGCUGAGACGCGAAAGCGUGGGGAGCGAACAGG